UCGAGAAUUUUUCACAAUGGGGGAAACCCUGAUGGAGCGACGCCGCGUGGGGGAUGAAUGGCUUCGGCCCGUAAACCCCUGUCAUUUGCGAACAAACCUCAUGGUUGAACAGAUCAUGAGCUGAUAGUAGCAGAAGAGGAAGGGACGGCUAACUCUGUGCCAGCAGCCGCGGUAAUACAGAGGUCCCAAGCGUUGUUCGGAUUCACUGGGCGUAAAGGGUGCGUAGGCGGCAGGGUAAGUUUGAGGUGAAAUCUCCGGGCUCAACCCGGAAAAUGCCUCGAAUACUAUCCUGCUGGAGGAUCGGAGGGGAGACUGGAAUUCUCGGUGUAGCAGUGAAAUGCGUAGAUAUCGAGAGGAACACCAGUGGCGAAGGCGAGUCUCUGGACGAUUCCUGACGCUGAGGCACGAAAGCCAGGGGAGCAAACG
RNAcentral lists this ribosomal RNA (426 nucleotides) under uncultured bacterium. RNAcentral's name for it is "bacterial SSU rRNA". It matches the Rfam family "Bacterial small subunit ribosomal RNA", at positions 355 to 774 of the family's 1533-position model. The record is from RNAcentral.